GACAGCAGCCGCCGCGGUAAGACGAACCGUGCGAACGUUAUUCGGAAUCACUGGGCUUAAAGCGCGUGUAGGCGGGAGGGCACGUCCGUCGCUGAAAUCCCCCGGCUCAACCGGGGAACGGGCGCGGAUACGACUCUUCUGGAGGAACGUAGGGGGACCUGGAACUUCCGGUGGAGCGGUGAAAUGCGUUGAGAUCGGAAGGAACGCCCGUGGCGAAAGCGAGGUCCUGGACGUUUACUGACGCUGAGACGCGAAAGCCAGGGGAGCGAACGGGAUUAGAUACCCCAGUAGUCCCUGUCUCUUAUA
Molecule: ribosomal RNA, 306 nt
Filed under: uncultured bacterium
Lineage: Bacteria
Description: partial 16S ribosomal RNA
Rfam family: Bacterial small subunit ribosomal RNA
Source: RNAcentral